Long non-coding RNA from Vespa velutina, 433 nucleotides. RefSeq lists it as uncharacterized. Lineage: Eukaryota; Metazoa; Arthropoda; Insecta; Hymenoptera; Vespidae. The transcript has 3 exons. The record is from RefSeq and is a predicted model, not a curated record.
CGAUGAAAUGGAAAAUAAUUUCUCUGCUUCGUGGGAAGUCUACGAGAUAUGGAAUCAGUAUUAUAUCGCGAUGGAUGAACUAAAAACUCUUUACAGGUGACGAGAGAAGAGACAAUGCUGAUGGUGGUAAUGGUGAUGGUGAUGGUGAUGGUGAUGGUGCUGGUAGGAACGGGGUAAAAUAAGACAACGGACACCGUAUGCGGUGUUGUAGCUGCGGGAGGGACCAGAGGAAACUGGUAGGAUCCUUCACGGCCGCCCACAUCGCGCAACAAAAAGAAAAGAUCUCCCCGAUCCCGAAAUCCCGAUUUUUCGAACGCCAUAAAUCCCGCUGGUAAUAAAAAAAAGGAAUCCCAAGAUGAUGGGAAGAGAGAUGGAAGGACCUAAGAGAAAGAAAGUCGAAGGGACAAGAUGAAGGAGAGAAGGACAACGAGUA